AUUGAACGCUGGCGGCAUGCCUUACACAUGCAAGUCGAACGGCAGCACGGGGGCGAACCCUCGGUGGCGAGUGGCGAACGGGUGAGUAAUACAUCGGAACGUGCCCGGUAGUGGGGGAGUAGCUCGGCGAAAGCCGGAUUAAUACCGCAUACGACCCACGGGUGAAGCGGGGGAUCGCAAGACCUCGCGCUAGCGGAGCGGCCGAUGUCAGAUUAGGUUGUUGGUGGGGUAAAGGCCACCAAGCCGACGAUCUGUAGCUGGUCUGAGAGGACGACCAGCCACACUGGGACUGAGACACGGCCCAGACUCCUACGGGAGGGCAGCAGUGGGGAAUCUUGCGCAAUGGGCGAAAGCCUGACGCAGCGACGCCGCGUGAGGGAUGACGGCCU
This 389-nucleotide ribosomal RNA is filed under the name uncultured bacterium. RNAcentral describes it as "bacterial SSU rRNA". It matches the Rfam family "Bacterial small subunit ribosomal RNA", at positions 28 to 417 of the family's 1533-position model. The record is from RNAcentral.